RNAcentral lists this ribosomal RNA (459 nucleotides) under uncultured bacterium. Its description in RNAcentral is "partial 16S ribosomal RNA". It matches the Rfam family "Bacterial small subunit ribosomal RNA", at positions 339 to 795 of the family's 1533-position model. The record is from RNAcentral.
CUACGGGGUGCAGCAGUAAGGAAUAUUGCGCAAUGGAGGCAACUCUGACGCAGCCAUGCCGCGUGCAGGAAGAAGGCCUUAUGGGUCGUAAACUGCUUUUAUUUAGGAAUAAACCCCCGAACGUGUUCGGGGCUGAAGGUACUAAACGAAUAAGCACCGGCUAACUCCGUGCCAGCAGCCGCGGUAAUACGGAGGGUGCAAGCGUUAUCCGGAUUUAUUGGGUUUAAAGGGUGCGCAGGCGGGCUAUUAAGUCAGUGGUGAAAUCCCGGGGCUCAACUCCGGAACUGCCAUUGAUACUGAUAGUCUUGAGUUUGGUUGAAGUGGGCGGAAUGUAGCAUGUAGCGGUGAAAUGCAUAGAUAUGCUACAGAACACCAAUCGCGAAGGCAGCUCACUAAGCCAAAACUGACGCUCAUGCACGAAAGCGUGGGGAUCAAACAGGAUUAGAUACCCUUGUAGUC